Long non-coding RNA from Callithrix jacchus (white-tufted-ear marmoset), 1742 nucleotides. NCBI's taxonomy places the organism in Eukaryota, Metazoa, Chordata, Mammalia, Primates, Cebidae. The record is from Ensembl.
CAUUGGUUCAGCCCAAAGCGGGUUAGGGGUGUUGCGGGGAGGCUUCCAUAGAUGGAUUCAAAGAUUUUUCUGACUGGCAAUUGGUUGAAAGAGUUAAGCUAUGCCUGAAGAGUUGAAGUUGGCAUAAAGAAAUGCUUGAGCUAAGAUAAGAGGGUUAUAGAAGCCAAGGAUCUUGUCUGCAGAUGAAACCUCCAGGUAGCGGCCUUCAGAAAGACUAGGUGGUAAAUGCCUUAAAUGUCUUUUAUCUGACCUUAAAAGAUAUGAAACUCUCCAGAAAAGACCUAGUAAGGGAAAAGAGAACCAUUUCAAAAUACAUCAAAAAACACAUUUUGGAGUAAAAUACUUUUAAUUUCCCUCAAGGACCUCUAUCUAUCAUGUGAUGCUAUAUCAGAGUCAGGUUGGAAUUUUGUAUCUUACUGUUAGGAAGUGUCUCUUUUGUCACUCUUAUAAUCUUUAUUUUAUGUUAAUGCUGGUCAGUUGUGCCUAAACUCCCAAGGGAGGAGGGUAUAACAACGCAGAGUGUCCAACCACCCUUCCUGUCUUGGCCUGAACUCGUUUUUCCGGUCUCUUUGGGAUCCCCUUGGCCAUGAGGGGUCUGUUCAGUUUGUUGGGGGCCUUAGAACUUUAGUUUUUGUUUCCAUAUCUUAGGACAUUAUUUUGCCUCAUCCCAGAUCUGUCCUAUUUCCUAAAAUACUGCGCUUUAAAAUAUACCCACGUUAACCCCAGUCAUAAUACAGAUUUUCUCACUCAACAAGACUCAAGUAUGCAGAAGACAAGCUGAUCACAACGAAUCCUACAAAGUGAAUGACUUAUUCAUGAGAUGCUUGCUUUAAGUGGUGAUUGAGGUUAAUCCUCAAAACUGCUCUUGAUUUCCACAGAUUUUUGCCUGGCGUUGAGCAUCCACAGAUCCUCUCAAUGCCCUGUUAUUUCAUUCGGACUUUCCUGGAAACAGAAUCGCCUCCUAUGGCUGAACCAACAGAAGCCAGGUGAUGGGGGAGCCUUUGAUGCAGACAUGGAGAUGAGAAUAUGUAUGGAUGCAUGGAAAAGAAAAUUGCUUAACCAUUUUAUCAAGAAAGACUAGAAAAUCAGAAUAAAGCAGCUCUGGGUAAGAGAGCUAUGAAUAGAUUUACAGGAACAGGAAGGAGGUGUGGAGAUCCUUCUAUUACAUGUUAAUGGUCACUAGCGAACAUCCACUAUAAAACAGCAUCCCACUAAGUCACCAAUAGACACAAGAGAAUAUGUGGCCUGUUGACAUUUGCCGGCCUCUAUCAUUAGAUGCCAAUGUUUAAACCACAGUGCAUGAAUAGCCGUGGUAGCAGGAGUGGGGCUAUGCAUGGAUCCAGAAUAUGCACUCCAACUCCACAGCUCUGACCCAGACACCAAGGCCAACAAAUAUUCAACCUUUCAGCAACAGAAACCACCGAUGAUCCUCAUCCCUGCUUAGGUAUGGUAUUAGCCCUUGAGACCAACCAGCCAUGUGGUAGAAAGUUGAACAUCUUCUACCCUGGAAAGGUCAUCGAUUCAUUUUUGUACAAAUGAGUUCAUGUUUCUGGGUUGGAUUUGCUGUUCAUGCUUGCAGGGCCUCAGCUGGCACCAGUAUCUAAAGGCUUAGAGAGUUAGUGAUCCACCAACAUGGCAUCUCACAUAACAUCCCAUCAAACCAAGUGACCCACUGUACAAAAAAGAAGGUGCAUGAGUGGAACAAGCUCUACUAGCGCCAUCAUAGACUGCACCAUCCAGAA